RNAcentral lists this ribosomal RNA (305 nucleotides) under uncultured bacterium. RNAcentral's name for it is "bacterial SSU rRNA". It matches the Rfam family "Bacterial small subunit ribosomal RNA", at positions 338 to 660 of the family's 1533-position model. The record is from RNAcentral.
CCUACGGGGCGCAGCAGUGGGGAAUAUUGCACAAUGGGGGAAACCCUGAUGCAGCGACGCCGCGUGAGUGAAGAAGUAUUUUGGUAUGUAAAGCUCUAUCAGCAGGGAAGAUAAUGACGGUACCUGACCAAGAAGCCCCGGCUAACUACGUGCCAGCAGCCGCGGUAAUACGUAGGGGGCAAGCGUUAUCCGGAUUUACUGGGUGUAAAGGGGGCGCAGACGGCAAUGCAAGCCAGGAGUGAAAGCCCGGGGCCCAACCCCGGGACUGCUCUUGGAACUGCAUGGCUGGAGUACAGGAGGGGCAG